CCUACGGGAGGCAGCAGUGAGGAAUAUUGGUCAAUGGACGGAAGUCUGAACCAGCCAUGCCGCGUGCAGGAAGACGGCUCUAUGAGUCGUAAACUGCUUUUGUACAAGGGUAAACCUGAGUACGUGUAUUCAGCUGAAAGUACUUUACGAAUAAGCAUCGGCUAACUCCGUGCCAGCAGCCGCGGUAAUACGGAGGAUCCAAGCGUUAUCCGGAUUUAUUGGGUUUAAAGGGUGCGUAGGCGGAUUUAUAAGUUAGAGGUGAAAUAUCCGGGCUUAACUCGGGAACUGCCUCUAAUACUGUUGAUCUAGAGAGUAGGUGCGGUAGGCGGAAUGUAUGGUGUAGCGGUGAAAUGCUUAGAGAUCAUACAGAACACCGAUUGCGAAGGCAGCUUACCAAUCUAUAUCUGACGUUGAGGCACGAAAGCGUGGGGAGCGAACAGGAUUAGAUACCCGAGUAGUC
This 460-nucleotide ribosomal RNA is filed under the name uncultured bacterium. Its description in RNAcentral is "partial 16S ribosomal RNA". It matches the Rfam family "Bacterial small subunit ribosomal RNA", at positions 338 to 795 of the family's 1533-position model. The record is from RNAcentral.